GUUACCUACGGGACGCAGCAGUGAGGAAUAUUGGUCAAUGGUCGGGAGACUGAACCAGCCAAGCCGCGUGAGGGAGGAAGGUACAGAGUAUCGUAAACCUCUUUUGUCAGGGAACAAAGGCGGGGACGUGUCCCCGGAUGAGUGUACCUGAAGAAAAAGCAUCGGCUGACUCCGUGCCAGCAGCCGCGGUAAUACGGAGGAUGCGAGCGUUAUCCGGAUUUAUUGGGCGUAAAGCGCGCGCAGGCGGGCCGCUAAGCGGGA
This 261-nucleotide ribosomal RNA is filed under the name uncultured bacterium. RNAcentral describes it as "partial 16S ribosomal RNA". It matches the Rfam family "Bacterial small subunit ribosomal RNA", at positions 334 to 592 of the family's 1533-position model. The record is from RNAcentral.